Molecule: ribosomal RNA, 253 nt
Filed under: uncultured bacterium
Lineage: Bacteria
Description: partial 16S ribosomal RNA
Rfam family: Bacterial small subunit ribosomal RNA
Source: RNAcentral
UACGGGGGGGGCAAGCGUUGUUCGGAAUUACUGGGCGUAAAGGGCUCGUAGGCGGCCAACUAAGUCGGACGUGAAAUCCCUCGGCUUAACCGGGGAACUGCGUCCGAUACUGGAUGGCUUGAGUGUGGGAGAGGGAUGCGGAAUUCCAGGUGUAGCGGUGAAAUGCGUAGAUAUCUGGAGGAACACCGGUGGCGAAGGCGGCAUCCUGGACCAAUACUGACACUGAGGAGCGAAAGCCAGGGGAGCAAACGGG